GCAUAAUAACUUGGCCAUUAAUUGUGGGCUAGAAUGAAUGGAAAAACGAAGUAAUAGCUGUCUCUAAUAGUUCAAUAAAAAAUAAUAUUUUAGUGAAGAAGCUAAAAUAAAUUCACAGGACAAGAAGACCCUAUAGAGCUUUAUUUAUAAUAUACAACAUAAGUAUAAAAAAAUUCAGUUGGGGCGACUAAGGAAUAAAUCAUCCUAAUUUUAUAAGAUUAACAAAUCAAACAAAAGAUCCUAAAUAUAGAUCAAAGAAAUUAGCUACCUUAGGGAUAACAGGCUAAUUCUCCUGGAAAGUCCAAAUUUAUAGGAGAGU
RNAcentral lists this ribosomal RNA (319 nucleotides) under Chaetogaster sp. CE31604. RNAcentral's name for it is "partial 16S ribosomal RNA". It matches the Rfam family "Bacterial large subunit ribosomal RNA", at positions 1959 to 2517 of the family's 2925-position model. Lineage: Eukaryota; Metazoa; Annelida; Clitellata; Tubificida; Naididae. The record is from RNAcentral.